AGUGACGGAAUUAUGAAAGUUUGGCAAAGAUAGUGUUUUGUUGACCAUCGGGGGUAUGCAUGUGUUGUUGUGUUUUGAUAUAGUGCUGUUGCUUCUUAUAUUCUCUUAUGAUUCCUUGCCUAAUGUUGUGUCUGUGCAUAUCUCUUGACUGGCAUUGGCUCCAGAAAUCAUUCAGAAGGCAGGAUCACAAGAUUGAUGUGAAAUCUUUUUCUGAUGAAAGGUAGAGUUGAAUUCAAUCACUAAACUAAGAGGCAUGCUACCUGCAGGCAUGGAUCUGCUGACACCCAAUACAAGUGUCUCAUGAAAAGUUGAAACACGUAUUGAUGAUCUAAGCCCUACAUCACACUGGCCUCAUGAUGAAUGUGUCUUCACCUAGGAUCGUAUGUCUAUUCAUCAGGAAUUGCAAAAUCCGUUACAGCUGUUGCAAGAAAUGCUCACUGAUGUGAAGUAUAGAUUGAGUUGUUGGACUGUACCAGGAAAUGUCAAUAAUGCACUCCAAAUCAGAGUAAUGGAAUAAUCUUUGAUGAAAUCUCUUGAUUCACAUCGAGAACACUAGGUAAUUCUUUCUUCUUUAUUUUCAAGAUCUAUAUGUCAUAGCUGGCAUUAUAAGCAGAAUCUUUUUCCAUAUUAUCUCUAACAGCUAAGGCAUCCAAGGAACUGAGAUAGAUUACUUGGCAGAGAUAAGUUAUAAUGGACUUGGAACAAUACAUUGUAUUGAAAGUUAAAAAUAGAUGGAUUACUAUUGAACACAUGGUUUGAUAGUUUUACUCUUAACUUAUAGGCAUUUUUAAAUCAUAAAAAUCAACUAAAUUUGAAGAGGAUGGAUCACCUACAAUCAAUUGUAUGCUGCAACCCAGCUUUUUAUGCAAAAAUUUUAGUUUCCAGAUUUGCCUAUAAAAAUAAUAUCAUAUUUUCAAAAGAAAAAUUCUUAGAAAAGGGUGGUGGAUGCCUUUUGGAGAGCUGAUUAUGGACCCUUCUUUGCCAGUCAACCAUUUAAAGCCAACCCCAACUUACUGGUAGAAAGGCUAAGAUGAUGAUGGUGAUAAUAUACUCGUGAGCCUUUGCAUGUCCAUCU
Long non-coding RNA from Magnolia sinica, 1075 nucleotides. RefSeq lists it as uncharacterized. The transcript has 3 exons. The record is from RefSeq and is a predicted model, not a curated record. Lineage: Eukaryota; Viridiplantae; Streptophyta; Magnoliopsida; Magnoliales; Magnoliaceae.